AAGCGCUUGCCACCAGACUUGUCGGCGGUGUUCCGCCGGUCUUCUGACCGGUCCACUCGCCGCCGGCAGGCCAGCAUCGUCUGGGGCCGCCGGAUAAAGACGUCGGGAAUGUAGCUCCCUCGGGAGUGUUAUAGCCCUUCACACAAUACGGCGCGCCCCGGGCGAGGUCCGCGCUCCGGCAAGGAUGCUGGCGUAAUGGUCGUAAGCGG
RNAcentral lists this ribosomal RNA (209 nucleotides) under Penidiella sp. Its description in RNAcentral is "partial large subunit ribosomal RNA". The record is from RNAcentral. Lineage: Eukaryota; Fungi; Ascomycota; Dothideomycetes; Mycosphaerellales; Teratosphaeriaceae.